RNAcentral lists this ribosomal RNA (843 nucleotides) under uncultured bacterium. RNAcentral describes it as "bacterial SSU rRNA". It matches the Rfam family "Bacterial small subunit ribosomal RNA", at positions 28 to 896 of the family's 1533-position model. The record is from RNAcentral.
GACGAACGCUGGCGGCGUGCCUAACACAUGCAAGUCGAGCGGGGGACUUCGGUCCCCAGCGGCGGACGGGUGAGUAACACGUGGGUAACCUGCCUUGUAGAGGGGGAUAGCCUUCCGAAAGGAAGAUUAAUACCGCAUAACAUUGAGAUAUCGCAUGAUAUUUUAAUCAAAGGAGCAAUCCGCUACAAGAUGGACCCGCGGCGCAUUAGCUAGUUGGUGAGGUAACGGCUCACCAAGGCGACGAUGCGUAGCCGGCCUGAGAGGGUGAACGGCCACAUUGGAACUGAGACACGGUCCAGACUCCUACGGGAGGCAGCAGUGGGGAAUAUUGCACAAUGGGCGAAAGCCUGAUGCAGCAACGCCGCGUGAGUGAUGAAGGCCUUCGGGUUGUAAAGCUCUGUCUUCUGGGACGAUAAUGACGGUACCAGAGGAGGAAGCCACGGCUAACUACGUGCCAGCAGCCGCGGUAAUACGUAGGUGGCAAGCGUUGUCCGGAUUUACUGGGCGUAAAGGAUGCGUAGGCGGAUACUUAGGUCAGAUGUGAAAAUCCCGGGCUUAACUUGGGAACUGCAUUUGAAACUGGGUAUCUAGAGUGCGGGAGAGGAGAGUGGAAUUCCUAGUGUAGCGGUGAAAUGCGUAGAGAUUAGGAAGAGCACCAGUGGCGAAGGCGACUCUCUGGACCGUAACUGACGCUGAGGCAUGAAAGCGUGGGGAGCAAACAGGAUUAGAUACCCUGGUAGUCCACGCCGUAAACUAUGAAUACUAGGUGUGGGAGUUGUCAUGACUUCCGUGCCGCAGUUAACACAAUAAGUAUUCCGCCUGGGGAGUACGGUCGCAAGAUUA